UCCAGAGUCACAGGGUUGAGGAAGUAGUUGAAGCAGCUGGGACAAGUGGCCUCAAUCUCAGCCUCUUCCAAGGGGAAGAGAACUUCCCUUCUUGGAUCAGCCCACCCUGAGUUACUAACAGGAGAUUCCCUUUAAAGAUAAAUAAUUUUUGCAAAGAUAAAGGAGAAGAGACUGCCUACUCCCCCCGCCCCAAAAAAAGAACCACAGGCUGCUCAGAAACAGUAGCCAAUUAUGCAGUAAACUGGUGAGCUCUAUCGCGUCUCACGCAAGAGCAUUAAAGAAAAAAGUGACUUCCCAGAAAUGUCUCCCUGUUGAAAACUCCUGACAGCCAAGGACAUAUAGCCAAUUUUCAAAUCUCUCAGGGUUUUUG
Molecule: non-coding RNA, 370 nt
Organism: Python bivittatus (Burmese python)
Lineage: Eukaryota; Metazoa; Chordata; Lepidosauria; Squamata; Pythonidae
Source: RefSeq, a predicted model, not a curated record